RNAcentral lists this ribosomal RNA (793 nucleotides) under uncultured archaeon. RNAcentral's name for it is "bacterial SSU rRNA". It matches the Rfam family "Archaeal small subunit ribosomal RNA", at positions 85 to 879 of the family's 1478-position model. The record is from RNAcentral.
ACGGCUCAGUAACACGUAGUCAAUCUACCCUAUGGACGGGAAUAACCUCGGGAAACUGAGAAUAAUGCCCGAUAGAACAUUAUGCCUGGAAUGGUUUAUGUUUCAAAUGAUUUAUCGCCAUAGGAUGGGACUGCGGCCUAUCAGUUUGUUGGUGAGGUAAUGGCCCACCAAGACUAUUACAGGUACGGGCUCUGAGAGGAGUAGCCCGGAGAUGGGUACUGAGACACGGACCCAGGCCCUAUGGGGCGCAGCAGGCGAGAAAACUUUGCAAUGUGCGAAAGCACGACAAGGUUAAUCCGAGUGGUUUCUGCUAAAGAAACCUUUUGUCAGUCCUAGAAACACUAACGAAUAAGGGGUGGGCAAGUUCUGGUGUCAGCCGCCGCGGUAAAACCAGCACCUCAAGUGGUCAGGAUGAUUAUUGGGCCUAAAGCAUCCGUAGCCCGYUUUGUAAGUUUUCGGUUAAAUCCAUGCGCUUAACGUAUGGGCUGCCGGGAAUACUGCAUAACUAGGAAGUGGGAGAGGUAGACGGUACUCGGUAGGAAGGGGUAAAAUCCUUUGAUCUAUUGAUGACCACCUGUGGCGAAGGCGGUCUACCAGAACACGUUCGACGGUGAGGGAUGAAAGCUGGGGGAGCAAACCGGAUUAGAUACCCGGGUAGUCCCAGCUGUAAACUAUGCAAACUCAGUGAUGCAUUGGCUUAUGGCCAAUGCAGUGCUGCAGGGAAGCCGUUAAGUUUGCCGCCUGGGAAGUACGUACGCAAGUAUGAAACUUAAAGGAAUUGGCGGGGGAGCAC